RNAcentral lists this ribosomal RNA (450 nucleotides) under uncultured bacterium. Its description in RNAcentral is "partial 16S ribosomal RNA". It matches the Rfam family "Bacterial small subunit ribosomal RNA", at positions 338 to 795 of the family's 1533-position model. The record is from RNAcentral.
CCUACGGGUGGCUGCAGUAAGGAAUAUUGGUCAAUGGACGAAAGUCUGAACCAGCCAUGCCGCGUGGAGGAUGAAGGUCCUCUGGAUUGUAAACUUCUUUUAUAUGGGACGAAAAAAGGCCUUUCUAGGCCGUCUGACGGUACCAUAUGAAUAAGCACCGGCUAACUCCGUGCCAGCAGCCGCGGUAAUACGGAGGGUGCAAGCGUUAUCCGGAUUCACUGGGGUGAAGGUGUGCGUAUGAGGGAUGGGUGAAAUCUCCGAGCUUAACGUGGAAACUGCCAUUGAUACUAUUAAGCUUGAAUAUUGUGGAGGUUAGCGGAAUAUGUCAUGUAGCGGUGAAAUGCUUAGAUAUGACAUAGAACACCAAUUGCGAAGGCAGCUGGCUACACAUAUAUUGACACUGAGGCACGAAAGCGUGGGGAUCAAACAGGAUUAGAUACCCGGGUAGUC